This 465-nucleotide ribosomal RNA is filed under the name Vreelandella stevensii. RNAcentral's name for it is "partial 16S ribosomal RNA". It matches the Rfam family "Bacterial small subunit ribosomal RNA", at positions 338 to 795 of the family's 1533-position model. Lineage: Bacteria; Pseudomonadati; Pseudomonadota; Gammaproteobacteria; Oceanospirillales; Halomonadaceae. The record is from RNAcentral.
CCUACGGGGUGCAGCAGUGGGGAAUAUUGGACAAUGGGCGAAAGCCUGAUCCAGCCAUGCCGCGUGUGUGAAGAAGGCCUUCGGGUUGUAAAGCACUUUCAGUGGGGAAGAAAGCCUUGGGGCUAAUACCCUCGAGGAAGGACAUCACCCACAGAAGAAGCACCGGCUAACUCCGUGCCAGCAGCCGCGGUAAUACGGAGGGUGCGAGCGUUAAUCGGAAUUACUGGGCGUAAAGCGCGCGUAGGCGGUCUGAUAAGCCGGUUGUGGAAGCCCUGGGCUCAACCUGGGAACGGCAUCCGGAACUGUCAGGCUAGAGUGCAGGAGAGGAAGGUAGAAUUCCCGGUGUAGCGGUGAAAUGCGUAGAGAUCGGGAGGAAUACCAGUGGCGAAGGCGGCCUUCUGGACUGACACUGACGCUGAGGUGCGAAAGCGUGGGUAGCAAACAGGAUUAGAUACCCGGGUAGUC